CGCGAUUCUGCUCCACAGAGUGAAAUUCUCACAGGUGUGAGAGGGGUCACAGUAAUCUGAACCGGAACUGCAGCUGCACACAGGCUAGCUGAGCACUGAAGAGAGAGGCCCCAGACUGGAAGGUUAAUGCAAGAUGGCCAGUGUGAUGCGGCGACCAAGUCCUGACCUCAUGGAACGGCAACAGUAAGAGACAACGCGUGUGAUUGGCAGCAGGGCAGAGGUUUACCUCUGCCUGCAUUUGUGAGUAGGGUCUCUACUGUUGUUUACUGGGUGCAGCUGGAUUGGGAGAGGGUCACCAUGGCCAUGAGCCAGGGCCGCUUCUGGGACCAUUGUUCUGGCCCCUAUUUGUUAUGUUACAGGACACCGACACAAGGGGAGCUGUGGCGGUGGUCGCAUCAUGGAUUCGGGUGCAGAACGCAAGCCGGACUGGGAAGUGAUGGGCCAGCGGAAGGACAAGAAGAUGGGUGGCUCUUUCUUGUCUGCCGAAGACGGGGCUGGCGUGGACUCUGCUCUAAAGGAGGAAUUCCUGGCCUGCUGAUGGACCCAUAAUGAACAUGUGGCCUAAUUAUAGCAGGGGGGGGUUUAGUGAAUGUAGAAAAUGGUAGUUUUAUGGGUUUUAGAAUUGUUUUUAGUAGAGAGCAAACAUUUUAUUACGUACAUUUUAAGGGUGUUUUUAUUUGUGCUCUCUGGCCCAGUAAUAAACUGUUUCUGAUCAGA
Long non-coding RNA from Maylandia zebra (zebra mbuna), 717 nucleotides. RefSeq lists it as uncharacterized. NCBI's taxonomy places the organism in Eukaryota, Metazoa, Chordata, Actinopteri, Cichliformes, Cichlidae. The record is from RefSeq and is a predicted model, not a curated record.